Molecule: ribosomal RNA, 253 nt
Filed under: uncultured bacterium
Lineage: Bacteria
Description: partial 16S ribosomal RNA
Rfam family: Bacterial small subunit ribosomal RNA
Source: RNAcentral
UACAGAGGUGGCAAGCGUUGUUCGGAAUUACUGGGCGUAAAGCGCGUGUAGGCGGCUCUUCAAGUCAGGCGUGAAAGCCCCGGGCUCAACUCGGGAACUGCGCUUGAUACUGUCGAGCUAGAGUGUGGAAGGGGCGAUUGGAAUUCCGUGUGUAGCGGUGAAAUGCGUAGAUAUACGGAGGAACACCAGAGGCGAAGGCGGAUCGCUGGGCCAACACUGACGCUGAGGAGCGAAAGCGUGGGGAGCGAACAGG